RNAcentral lists this ribosomal RNA (504 nucleotides) under uncultured bacterium. Its description in RNAcentral is "partial 16S ribosomal RNA". It matches the Rfam family "Bacterial small subunit ribosomal RNA", at positions 30 to 523 of the family's 1533-position model. The record is from RNAcentral.
AUUGAACGCUGGCGGCAGGCCUAACACAUGCAAGUCGAGCGGAAACGAAGGGAGCUUGCUCCCAGGCGUCGAGCGGCGGACGGGUGAGUAACACGUGAGAAUCUGCCCAUUAGUGGGGGACAACUCGGGGAAACUCGAGCUAAUACCGCAUAAUACCUACGGGGGAAAGCAGGGGACCUUUUGGCCUUACGCUGAUCGAUGAGCUCACGCCGGAAUAGCUUGUUGGUGAGGUAAAGGCUCACCAAGGCGACGAUCCCUAGCUGGUCUGAGAGGAUGAUCAGCCACACUGGGACUGAGACACGGCCCAGACUCCUACGGGAGGCAGCAGUGGGGAAUCUUGGACAAUGGGGGCAACCCUGAUCCAGCCAUGCCGCGUGUGUGAAGAAGGCCUUCGGGUUGUAAAGCACUUUCAGCAGGGAGGAAGGCUUUGGCCGAAUAGGUUGAAGUACUUGACGUUACCUGCAGAAGAAGCACCGGCUAAUUUCGUGCCAGCCGCCGCGGUAA